GAAUGCAGCUCAGUGGUAGAGUCCUUGCCUUUCAUGCAUGAGGCUCUGGGUUUGAUUCUCAGCAUUC
This 67-nucleotide transfer RNA is filed under the name Heterocephalus glaber (naked mole-rat). It matches the Rfam family "tRNA". From Rfam's summary of the family: Transfer RNA (tRNA) molecules are approximately 80 nucleotides in length. Their secondary structure includes four short double-helical elements and three loops (D, anti-codon, and T loops). Lineage: Eukaryota; Metazoa; Chordata; Mammalia; Rodentia; Bathyergidae. The record is from Rfam by way of RNAcentral.